RNAcentral lists this ribosomal RNA (479 nucleotides) under uncultured bacterium. Its description in RNAcentral is "bacterial SSU rRNA". It matches the Rfam family "Bacterial small subunit ribosomal RNA", at positions 30 to 507 of the family's 1533-position model. The record is from RNAcentral.
UGAACGCUGGCGGCGUGCUUAACACAUGCAAGUCGAACGAAGCAUUUAGAACAGAUUACUUCGGUUUGAAGUUCUUUAUGACUGAGUGGCGGACGGGUGAGUAACGCGUGGGUAACCUGCCUUGUACUGGGGGAUAGCAGCUGGAAACGGCUGGUAAUACCGCAUAAGCGCACAAUGUUGCAUGACAUGGUGUGAAAAACUCCGGUGGUAUAAGAUGGACCCGCGUCUGAUUAGCUAGUUGGUGAGAUAACAGCCCACCAAGGCGACGAUCAGUAGCCGACCUGAGAGGGUGAUCGGCCACAUUGGGACUGAGACACGGCCCAGACUCCUACGGGAGGCAGCAGUGGGGAAUAUUGCACAAUGGGGGAAACCCUGAUGCAGCAACGCCGCGUGAGUGAUGACGGCCUUCGGGUUGUAAAGCUCUGUCUUCAGGGACGAUAAUGACGGUACCUGAGGAGGAAGCCACGGCUAACUACGUG